UGGGGAAUAUUGGACAAUGGGCGAAAGCCUGAUCCAGCAAUGCCGCGUGAGUGAUGAAGGCCUUAGGGUUGUAAAGCUCUUUUACCAGGGAUGAUAAUGACAGUACCUGGAGAAUAAGCUCCGGCUAACUCCGUGCCAGCAGCCGCGGUAAUACGGAGGGAGCUAGCGUUGUUCGGAAUUACUGGGCGUAAAGCGUACGUAGGCGGUGACUCAAGUCAGAGGUGAAGGCCUGGAGCUCAACUCCAGAACUGCCUUUGAAACUAGGUCGCUAGAAUCACGGAGAGGUGAGUGGAAUUCCGAGUGUAGAGGUGAAAUUCGUAGAUAUUCGCAGGAACACCAGUGGCGAAGGCGACUUGCUGGACUUAUGGUGACGCUGAGACGCGAAAGCGUGGGGAGCAAACAGGAUUAGAUACCCCUGUAGUCCCUGAGCGGGCUGGCAAGGCGCAU
Molecule: ribosomal RNA, 447 nt
Filed under: uncultured bacterium
Lineage: Bacteria
Description: bacterial SSU rRNA
Rfam family: Bacterial small subunit ribosomal RNA
Source: RNAcentral